This 444-nucleotide ribosomal RNA is filed under the name Paenibacillus sp. 255-3.2-LH-H15(s)-07. Its description in RNAcentral is "bacterial SSU rRNA". It matches the Rfam family "Bacterial small subunit ribosomal RNA", at positions 46 to 470 of the family's 1533-position model. Lineage: Bacteria; Bacillati; Bacillota; Bacilli; Caryophanales; Paenibacillaceae. The record is from RNAcentral.
GCCUAAUACAUGCAAGUCGAGCGGACUUGAUGGAGUGCUUGCACUCCUGAUAGUUAGCGGCGGACGGGUGAGUAACACGUGGGUAACCUGCCCAUAAGACUGGGAUAACAUUCGGAAACGAAUGCUAAUACCGGAUACGCAAUUUGGUCGCAUGGCCGAGUUGGGAAAGGCGGAGCAAUCUGCCACUUAUGGAUGGACCUGCGGUGCAUUAGCUAGUUGGUGGGGUAACGGCUCACCAAGGCGACGAUGCAUAGCCGACCUGAGAGGGUGAUCGGCCACACUGGGACUGAGACACGGCCCAGACUCCUACGGGAGGCAGCAGUAGGGAAUCUUCCGCAAUGGACGAAAGUCUGACGGAGCAACGCCGCGUGAGUGAUGAAGGUUUUCGGAUCGUAAAGCUCUGUUGCCAGGGAAGAACGCUAUGAGAGUAACUGCUCCAUAGGU